This is a long non-coding RNA of Cornus florida, 1411 nucleotides long. RefSeq lists it as uncharacterized. The transcript has 2 exons. Lineage: Eukaryota; Viridiplantae; Streptophyta; Magnoliopsida; Cornales; Cornaceae. The record is from RefSeq and is a predicted model, not a curated record.
UCAAGUGAAAUGAAACUAUGACAAUGGUGGUGAUCCAAGAAGAAGAAGAUACAUUUAAAUUAUUUUGAUAUAAUUGAUUUUUUUUUUUUUUUUUUUCCGUAAGAAAUCUUUUAUUAUACUACAAUAGUUUGAAAAGACCUACUUCUAUGGUCUGCUAUGAAAAGAUGUGCCACGCAUAGCUUCUGCUAUGAAAAAAGAAAAGGACGACUUUGACUACCAGUCUCCUCCCUCGAUAAAAGCAUAGAGAGUGAAGAGAACUUAAAGCUGUUUCUUGCAUCUUCAUCAAUUUAUACUUUGUAAAGAUCCAAGUCUGUGUCCAAGCUAAGACUCUUUACUCACAACCAGGCUGGCUGCUGUUUACUUAUGGGCACCGCAUUAAGCAUACUGAAAUUGAGAAGUAGAGCCAGCUCAGAAGAAGAAGAAGGGGAAAAGGAGGGAAAUAUGUUGCGCUAUGGAGGCAUGUUAUUGGAAGAGCUGCUCCAUUCAUGUGAUGGAAAAUAUAAUCCGUUCCGAAUUUUCUCAGCUCAAGACCUUGUAAUUGCAACCAAUCACUACUUUGACCUAAUUUCAGGAAGAUGGUUGGUACAAGAUCUACAGGGGUUCCUUCAAUGACCGUCCGGUACUUGUCAAGUCUUUUCACAAGUAUAUAAAACAUGGUAUUAAUGAAAUUGUGUUUGCCUCACAGUUAAACAACCACAACAACAUACACAUGCUCUUGGGCUGCUGCCUUUGAACUGAAUAUCCGAUCCUAGUGUUGGAGUAUCCGGAAAAUAGACUUCUUUCUCAUCAUAUAUUUGACGAUCAUCAUCAUCAUCAUCAUCAUCCGCCACUACCUUGGAUUGCAGGUUGAAGGUUGCCAAGGAGGUUGCUGAUGCUUUGGCGUAUCUCCACACUGGGUUGUCCACGCCCAUCAUUCACAUAUACGUAAAAGCAUCAAGCAUAUAAUGUGCAAGGGACUUUUGGAUAUUUGGCUCCAGAAUACUUGCAAACAAAACAAGUUACUGCCAAGUGUGAUGUUUACUCUUUCGGAUCGCUGUUGACUGAAAUUUUGUCAGGAGAAAAGAUUAUGGCUUCACACUUACGUAAUGACAAUUCACAUCUUGAUUCUAUUUUGGGCUUCCCGGAAGAGAGGGCAAGCCACAGCUUCGUCAACUUAUUAUUGAGAGAGCUACAAACUAUAUGGGAGUAGAUAUCAUUUUGGAAGAUCAAUACAAGCUUUCAUUGGCAUGGAGACUUACAUCCAAAUGCCAUAGUAUAAAUCCAGAGGAAAGGCCAACAAUGACACAAGUAUCAAAAGAGAUUACAAGGAUUAUCAAAUUUCAAUUGAACCAGACUCCGUCAAUCUCUCCCACCACCCAUCAUGCUUGUUGAAUUGUGAGCUCACUUUCUCUAGGCAUAUUAAGCCGCAAGA